GACGAACGCUGGCGGCAUGCCUAAUACAUGCAAGUCGAGCGAACAGAUGAAGUGCUUGCACUUCUGACGUUAGCGGCGAACGGGUGAGUAACACGUAAGGAAUCUACCUAUAAGCGGGGGAUAACAUUCGGAAACGGGUGCUAAUACCGCAUAAUAUCUUCUUCCGCAUGGAAGAAGAUUGAAAGACGGCUCUGCUGUCACUUAUAGAUGACCUUGCGGUGCAUUAGUUAGUUGGUGGGGUAAUGGCCUACCAAGACAAUGAUGCAUAGCCGCCCUGAGAGGGUGAGCGGCCACAUUGGGACUGAGACACGGCCCAAACUCCUACGGGAGGCAGCAUUAGGGAAUCUUCCGCAAUGGGCGAAAGCCUGACGGAGCAAUGCCGCGUGAGUGAAGAAGGCCUUCGGGUCGUAAAACUCUGUUAUAAGAGAAGAACAAAUUGUAGAGUAACUGCUACAGUCUUGACGGUAUCUUAUCAGAAAGCCACGGCUAACUACGUGCCAGCAGCCGCCGUAA
Molecule: ribosomal RNA, 513 nt
Filed under: uncultured bacterium
Lineage: Bacteria
Description: partial 16S ribosomal RNA
Rfam family: Bacterial small subunit ribosomal RNA
Source: RNAcentral